RNAcentral lists this long non-coding RNA (14851 nucleotides) under Gossypium barbadense (sea-island cotton). RNAcentral's name for it is "long non-coding RNA (GBAR_LNC013109)". The record is from RNAcentral. Lineage: Eukaryota; Viridiplantae; Streptophyta; Magnoliopsida; Malvales; Malvaceae.
GCUGCUUAGCAUCGAACAUGUCAGGGCAGCACACCCAACAAUGCAGAAUACGGAACUGCUCGUGAGGUGGGUUUCCUCCAGAGUCUCCACAAGCGCUUCUGACGGCAGGCAACGUUGAAUACAAUCCCCAAGGGAAGUUCCGUUGGGGACGCAAGUAGUUACACAAAAUGCAUACCCAAAUUCAAUCGGGGCGAGUGCUGUAACAGCUUGAAGGGAGAGACUAACAAGGAUCAACAACAGCAAACAGAAAAUCAACGCUCAUUAUUUCCCCCCAUUAUGUAUAUAUUUAAUUUGAUUUCAUGAUGAUUAUUUUGCACUGCUUUAUAUAGGUCUUAUAUAGAUUUUGAUUGUCAUGCCAAACAGCCAAACUGCCAAACUACCAAACUGCCUUAUUGAAUGUAAAAUUAAGACGUCAAACCAUAAUGCCAAAAUUUGAUUGAAUGCAAAAUUAAGAGAAAAUUUCUAUACCUAAUCAAAGUAAUAUGAAAUGGAUUUGUCAAGCCAAACUACAUGGAAAAUGCUUGAAUGUCUUGUCUUUUUUUUAGAAUUCUUCCUAACAAUCUAAAUUCUUCCUAACCAUUCAAAAUAUUCUGAUUGUCAAUCUUCUUUCUCAGAUGUCAUGAAUCACAAAUGAACACUAAACCUUUAACUUCAUAUUUUAAACAUUAACAUCGAAGUAAACACUUAAUCCGUGCAAAUAAAAUCUUGAUUCUCACCUUCACAGUGACUGUAUCCAUCUCCUUUGAAUUGCUCGCCAUCAACCAAGAGACAUUCACAAACUCUUCCUCGAAAUGUAUCUUAAGAAGCAAAUCAAUAUAUUCAAAUAAGCUCAUGGAGUAGAGAAUCCCUAUCAAAUCUGUUUCGAUUCAUACCCUGCAGGCUGUGAGAUUUGCUGCUUUUUCUUGCCAACAACCACCAUCAUUUUCCAAGCAUUCAUUCGUCUCCACAUCUGUGAAAAAAGUAACCGUCAUCACUGGUGUUUCAAAUAACAACUGGACAGUAAGUUGAAACACUACACUGGAUUUCUAAAAGCCUAGCUCUCGCCUAUGUUACUUAGUGUGAGAGUUGGAUAAGGCAUAUGUCUGACAUGGAUACGUGCAAGUUGUUCUUCAUUUUUCCUGUAUUCAGAGUGUUUUUGGAGGGUCACAUCCCCAUACUCGUAGAUGAAAACGUGUCAGACACGGGUUCUUAGAAAACUGGUACUUCAAGCAAAACUGAGACUCAGAGAAACUUAGCUCUAAACCACUUUAUCCAUACUGGAGAAAACUAUACGCCAUUACUACGAAAUUCUUAGAUAACCAGCAUUUUGAAAUUCAUUUUUAUUAUCAUACAUCUGCCUUGAGAACCAACCCAACCCAAAGCAUAUAUGUUCACUUGGACUCUGGGUGUGAGUUUCAAAUACAGGUAUGUGUUUGACACGGAUAUAUUCAAAUUUUUGUUCAUGUACCUAGAAGGAUCUUUGAAAAAUCAGAUCACCGUACACAUGUUCGGAUAUUGAGUCUAAAACUGGUACUUAAAGCAAAACCAAGAAUCUGAGAAACUUAGCUCUACUUUUGUAGACACCUCUAAGGCUACAUCCCUAUGAAAGGAGGGAAAUGAAGCUAAAUGAAUGGACCUAAUUUCAGAAAACAACUAGUAAGAUAAAAAGAGAGAAAGACAUCCGUCCAAACAACUUAAAGCAAAGCUGAAAACAAGUAAAUUAAUUCAUAAAUGAACGGAUAAAUAUAUAAAUAAUGAUAAUGAAAUCAAUGGAAACUGAUAAACCUAAAUUUAUUUAAAUGAAUUAGUUAAAAUAUAAUAACAUAAAUCCAAGUAGAUGGAAAAACCAAAUCUAUUAACCCUCAAAUCCCAAACUAUCAAAUAGAUUAUUGCCCCAUAAAUAAACCAAAUCCAACAAAUUGAACUUUAAACCUACUAUUUAAAUUCCCCAAUUUGGAAUUACUCAAAUUAGCUAAAACAACACAAAAAUUCCUCAUUGAUCAACCCUACAACAAACAAAUUAUAGCUCAAAUAAACAAAACCAUAGAUUAAUUUUUCUUAGAAGGCGAAAAUUUUGAAAAAAAGAAGAAGAAAAGUGUACCUCCACGAUCGACCAGAACAUAGGUAGGAAGAGAACCAGGCUUGGAUAUAACCGAAAUCCCAAAGUCAUCAAAACCUUUACAAGCUUUUCGGUUUUCUUCAGGGUAAACCACAACACCAGCCAUGCUUCCACCACAUUGAGGUAUCCCAAAGUUCCCAAUCGCACUAUCAUGGGUUGCUUUAAUCUUCUCCGGCGAUGUUACCGCCAAGCUCUUCUUUUCCACCACGAAUCUCGCGUAACAAUUGCGUAUCAAAGAUAAUAAAAUAAACACUUGAGGAAGAUGAUGAUGAUGGAAUGUUCGUAGCUCCAUAUCUUUACUUUUGGUUUUGGAUUUGGAUUGGAUCAGUUUUAAGGACGAUACUGAUGAAGAAGAUGAAGAUCGUGUAUGAAAAACAUGUAAAAUGAAAUGGUUUUUUUGAAAAAAAUAAAAACAGUGAAAAUCGCCAUUAAAUAAUUCUAUGAUUCUUUUAUUUGUUUUAAAUGAAUUUAGAACACAGUUAGUGAAAUUUUGACACGCUACUAAUAAAUAAUCUUAGUCAUUUAUAGAUUAAACAUUUUUCUUUUUUUUAAACAGUGCAAUGAGACCAAAUCCAGUCAUCUGAAGUAAACUUAAUGGGUUUAUGUUUUUCUUAGCCCCUAAAUUUUCACCUACCGUUUAAUUUAGUACAUGUUAAAAAAAAUCCAAUUUAGUCAUUUGUAUUAUACGUGACGGUCUUCUACAUAUACGAAGUCGUUUAAGUUUCGUUCCGGUGAAGAUUUCAAUAUGCUUAGCAUGUUCCAAAGUCCUUUGGCCCAUUCUAGCCAGUAUCGGCCCGUAUCAAUUGGUACAAAAUUUUGAUAUUUAAACUUAUCUUUUAAUUUUUUAUCUUAAACAUUUUAACUUUUUAUAACUACGUUUAAAAUUAAAAUAAACUGAAGCUAUUGAACCAAUUAAUAGAUUUAAAACUUAUUUUUACAUAUAGAUAGAUGUAAUUGAAAUAUAUCAAGAAAUUUUUCGAUGCAUUUAGCACAUAAAAUCCUCCAAAAAAUAAGGAAAACAGUUAAAUAAUAUAACAUGAAGGAUUCAACAAAAACAACCAACAAGGAACAUCACAUUAUUCUUGGAUAACGGCAAUAAUUGUAUCAUUACUGAUUAUCAUCAGUUCUUCAUGGCGCAUCUCUCUAUGCAGGUAUUGACGCAGCCGACAACUUCCUUUGAAGCUGACAAAAACAAAACAAAUCAUUAAGUUAAUAUACGUACUUACUUACCAUCAAAUAUUAAUAUAAAACGGAAAAAGAAAAAUUACCAGGCAUCCUCCCUUGGCUGCUUAGCAUUGAACAUGUCAUGGCAGCACACCCAACAGUGCAGAAUACGGAGCUGCUCGCGAGGUGGGUUUCCUCCAAUGUCUCCACCAGUGCUUCUGACGGCAGGCAGCGUUGAAUACAUUCCCCAAGGGAAGUUCCGUUGGCGACGCAAGUCGUUACGCAAAAAGUAUACCCAAGUCCAAUCGGGACAAGUGCUGUAACAGCUUGACGCGAGGGACUAACAAGGAUCAACAACAGCAAACAGAACAUCAACGCCAAUGAUUUCCCCCCCAUUAUGUAUAUAUUUGAUUUGAUUUGAUAAUGAUUUUUUUGCACUGCUUGAUAUCGGUGUUAUAUACACUUUGAUUGUCAUGCCAAACUACCAAACUGCCUAAUUAAGAUGCCAAACUAUAAUGCCAAAAUUUGAUUGAAUGCAAAAUUAAAAGAACAUUUCUAUAAGUAAUCAAAAUAAUUUGAAAUGAAUUUGUCAUGCCAAACUACAUGGAAAAUGUCUAAUGUCUUGUCCUUUUUUUAGAAUUCUUCCUAAUAAUCUAAAUUCUUCCUAACCAUCCCAAAUAUUCUGAUUGUCAAUGUUCUUUCUCAGAUGUCAUGAAUCACAAAUGAACACUAAACCUUUAACUUCAUAUUUUAAACAUUAACAUCGAAGUAAACACUUAAACCGUGCAAAUAAAAUCUUGAUUCUCACCUUCACAGUGACUGUAUCCAUCUCCUUUGAUUUGCUCGCUAUCAACCAAGAGACAUUCACAAACUCUUCCUCGAAAUGUAUCUUAAGAAGAAAAUCAAUAUAUUCAAAUAAGCUCAUGGAGUAGAGAAUCCCUAUCAAAUCUGUUUCGAUUCAUACCCUGCAGGCUGUGAGAUUUGCUGCUUUUUCUUGCCAACAACCACCAUCAUUUUCCAAGCAUUCAUUCGUCUCCACAUCUGUGAAAAAAGUAACCGCCAUCACUGGUGUUUCAAAUAACAACUGGACAGUAAGUUGAAACACUACACUGGAUUUCUAAAAGCCUAGCUCUCGCCUAUGUUACUUAGUGUGAGAGUUGGAUAAGACAUAUGUCUGACAUGGACAUGUGCAAGUUGUUCUUCAUUUUCCCUGUAUUCAGAGUGUUUUUGGAGGGUCACAUCCCCAUACUCGUCUAUGAAAACGUGUCAGACACGGGUUCUCAAGAGAGGUAAAGAGUCAGCACCCCUAAGUGGAACCAGACUAAAAUACUUCUCUUGCAAGAAAAAUAAAACAAGACAAACUCACCACCACUCGAACAAACAGCUGGUUCAGUAGUCUCCUCGAAGCCGGCACAUAUGGCCUUCAAAACAGCACCUUUGGCCAGCUUUCCUGCAUGCAGAUAUGUUAAACGCGGAAAGCACCCAAAAUUUUAUCUGGGAAAUACGGGUAUAAAUACGAACCUCGAUAUUGGCGAUUGUUGACAACAAGUCUAGGCAAUAUGGUAACAUCUCCUCUAGAUCCUUUCCCCGCCUAUGAAAAUGUUUCUAUUAAAUAGCCUCAAAAAGGUCAAAGAAGACAACGAAUUGGAAAAAGAGUAGUGAAACAUAAAAUAUCUUAGCCUGAGAGGACUACUUGAGCAUCUUGUUCUUCUUCCAGAACAGGAUUCUCCAUAUCAGCAUCUGGAUCUCCCAAACACUUUUCGAUCUUUUUAGCGUCAAGCCCUGAAUGGAUGACAAAGGAAUAUCAUCAAUUUAUUACUAGUUUCCAGCAAGAUUUUGAGUUUUCACUGUGCUAUUAAUACUAACAGAAAUUUGAAGAUAAACCGAGGAUCUUCCAAUUAACUGUUUACCAAGAGAUUUGAUAACACCGUCUGCACAUUCCUUAUUAUAUCUUUUCUACUUCAUUGGCCAUCUUAUUUCAAAAUCAGUCACAUAGUCCCACCACACCCAAGGCCUAUUGGUCUCAUUUGCCACUUUGAAAACGCAAAGCUGCCUUAAGGUCUCAAUAACUACAUCUUUCCCUUCAUAACCUGAGCUAAAACCUUGUUCAGGAUCCGGUGCACAGUAUCUUCCGCGGUUGAUGCAUUGAGAUAUGCACUGCCGGCUUAGGGUGAAAGCUUGAGGGCAGUACCAAGUUAUAUAAUGGGGUGUGAACUGCGUAUAGCCACCUUUUUCGAGAAUCUUAGCAGCACCCUUGAAAUCCUUCACAAAUGCCAUCAGCAUAUCGCAUUUAACUCCACAUUCAUCAUUGCUCUUGGUCCAUAACUCGUACUCGUCACGAUCAUCAGGGUUAGAGUUUCACCAGAAGUUUUCUCGAUAAGGGCAGAUGAACUGUCCUCUUCGCGAUUGUCCCUGGUUAUUAAUGCUUCUUCUAUGUCAUCCGCAACAAGCACUGCAGAAGCACUGCUUGCCAUACAUUCCAAAUCUUUAAAGCAAAGAAGCAAUCUGGAGAAAUAAUAAGAAAAAAGGCGCUAAAUGCAGUCUCCGCAAAUAUAUAUAUAUAUCAAAAACUAAAGAAAAAUUACAUCUAAGACCAUAACUCAAUCAAGGACAAUAAGCAAAUUUUACAACCUUGGCAGCAACUGGAGUCCGUAUAUAGGCAACACUUCAGAUUUUUCUCAUCUCUUUAACAGUGUAAUCACAUUAUAGUAAUGUAACUGAAUUAUCUAAUCCGGAAGUAACUAUAAGCCAUUACUACCUAAUGCUUAGAUCAACCAGCAUUCUGAACCUCAUUUUUAUCACCAUACAUCUGUUUGAGAACCAACCAAACUCAAAUCGUACACUCUAAAUCUAUGUUCACUCGGACUCGGGUAUGAGUUUCAAAUGUAGGCACAUGUUUGAGACGGAUAUGUUAGUUUUGGUUUUUCAUGUAUCUGGAGGAUCUUUGAAAAGUCAUGUGUCGCCCAUAUGCAUGUUCGGAUAUUGAGUCUAGAACGGGUACUUCAGACGGAUAUCCAGAGGAUCAUUAACAGCAUAAUCGCGUUGCAGUAAUGUAACUGAAUUAUCUAAUCCGGAGGUAACUAUAAGCCAUUACUACGAAAUGCUUAGAUCACCAUUAUUUUGAAACUCGUUUUUAUUAUCAUCCAUCUGUUUAAGAACCAACCAAACUCAAAUCAUACACUCUAAAUCUCUGUUUACUCCGACUUGGGUAUGAGUUUCAAAUAAAGGUAUGUGUUUGACACUGAUAUAUUCAAUUUUUCUUCAUGUACCUAGGGGAUCUUUGAGAAGACAUAUCACCGCACACAUGUUCAGAUAUUGAGUCCAAAACCGGUACUUCAAGCAAAACUGAGACUCAGAGAAACUUAGCUCUAAACCACUUUAUCCAUACUGGAGAAAACUAUACGCCAUUACUACGAAAUUCUUAGAUAACCAGCAUUUUGAAAUUCAUUUUUAUUAUCAUACAUCUGCCUUGAGAACCAACCCAACCCAAAGCAUAUAUGUUCACUUGGACUCUGGGUGUGAGUUUCAAAUACAGGUAUGUGUUUGACACGGAUAUAUUCAAAUUUUUGUUCAUGUACCUAGAAGGAUCUUUGAAAAAUCAGAUCACCGUACACAUGUUCGGAUAUUGAGUCUAAAACUGGUACUUAAAGCAAAACCAAGAAUCUGAGAAACUUAGCUCUACUUUUGUAGACACCUCUAAGGCUACAUCCCUAUGAAAGGAGGGAAAUGAAGCUAAAUGAAUGGACCUAAUUUCAGAAAACAACUAGUAAGAUAAAAAGAGAGAAAGACAUCCGUCCAAACAACUUAAAGCAAAGCUGAAAACAAGUAAAUUAAUUCAUAAAUGAACGGAUAAAUAUAUAAAUAAUGAUAAUGAAAUCAAUGGAAACUGAUAAACCUAAAUUUAUUUAAAUGAAUUAGUUAAAAUAUAAUAACAUAAAUCCAAGUAGAUGGAAAAACCAAAUCUAUUAACCCUCAAAUCCCAAACUAUCAAAUAGAUUAUUGCCCCAUAAAUAAACCAAAUCCAACAAAUUGAACUUUAAACCUACUAUUUAAAUUCCCCAAUUUGGAAUUACUCAAAUUAGCUAAAACAACACAAAAAUUCCUCAUUGAUCAACCCUACAACAAACAAAUUAUAGCUCAAAUAAACAAAACCAUAGAUUAAUUUUUCUUAGAAGGCGAAAAUUUUGAAAAAAAGAAGAAGAAAAGUGUACCUCCACGAUCGACCAGAACAUAGGUAGGAAGAGAACCAGGCUUGGAUAUAACCGAAAUCCCAAAGUCAUCAAAACCUUUACAAGCUUUUCGGUUUUCUUCAGGGUAAACCACAACACCAGCCAUGCUUCCACCACAUUGAGGUAUCCCAAAGUUCCCAAUCGCACUAUCAUGGGUUGCUUUAAUCUUCUCCGGCGAUGUUACCGCCAAGCUCUUCUUUUCCACCACGAAUCUCGCGUAACAAUUGCGUAUCAAAGAUAAUAAAAUAAACACUUGAGGAAGAUGAUGAUGAUGGAAUGUUCGUAGCUCCAUAUCUUUACUUUUGGUUUUGGAUUUGGAUUGGAUCAGUUUUAAGGACGAUACUGAUGAAGAAGAUGAAGAUCGUGUAUGAAAAACAUGUAAAAUGAAAUGGUUUUUUUGAAAAAAAUAAAAACAGUGAAAAUCGCCAUUAAAUAAUUCUAUGAUUCUUUUAUUUGUUUUAAAUGAAUUUAGAACACAGUUAGUGAAAUUUUGACACGCUACUAAUAAAUAAUCUUAGUCAUUUAUAGAUUAAACAUUUUUCUUUUUUUUAAACAGUGCAAUGAGACCAAAUCCAGUCAUCUGAAGUAAACUUAAUGGGUUUAUGUUUUUCUUAGCCCCUAAAUUUUCACCUACCGUUUAAUUUAGUACAUGUUAAAAAAAAUCCAAUUUAGUCAUUUGUAUUAUACGUGACGGUCUUCUACAUAUACGAAGUCGUUUAAGUUUCGUUCCGGUGAAGAUUUCAAUAUGCUUAGCAUGUUCCAAAGUCCUUUGGCCCAUUCUAGCCAGUAUCGGCCCGUAUCAAUUGGUACAAAAUUUUGAUAUUUAAACUUAUCUUUUAAUUUUUUAUCUUAAACAUUUUAACUUUUUAUAACUACGUUUAAAAUUAAAAUAAACUGAAGCUAUUGAACCAAUUAAUAGAUUUAAAACUUAUUUUUACAUAUAGAUAGAUGUAAUUGAAAUAUAUCAAGAAAUUUUUCGAUGCAUUUAGCACAUAAAAUCCUCCAAAAAAUAAGGAAAACAGUUAAAUAAUAUAACAUGAAGGAUUCAACAAAAACAACCAACAAGGAACAUCACAUUAUUCUUGGAUAACGGCAAUAAUUGUAUCAUUACUGAUUAUCAUCAGUUCUUCAUGGCGCAUCUCUCUAUGCAGGUAUUGACGCAGCCGACAACUUCCUUUGAAGCUGACAAAAACAAAACAAAUCAUUAAGUUAAUAUACGUACUUACUUACCAUCAAAUAUUAAUAUAAAACGGAAAAAGAAAAAUUACCAGGCAUCCUCCCUUGGCUGCUUAGCAUUGAACAUGUCAUGGCAGCACACCCAACAGUGCAGAAUACGGAGCUGCUCGCGAGGUGGGUUUCCUCCAAUGUCUCCACCAGUGCUUCUGACGGCAGGCAGCGUUGAAUACAUUCCCCAAGGGAAGUUCCGUUGGCGACGCAAGUCGUUACGCAAAAAGUAUACCCAAGUCCAAUCGGGACAAGUGCUGUAACAGCUUGACGCGAGGGACUAACAAGGAUCAACAACAGCAAACAGAACAUCAACGCCAAUGAUUUCCCCCCCAUUAUGUAUAUAUUUGAUUUGAUUUGAUAAUGAUUUUUUUGCACUGCUUGAUAUCGGUGUUAUAUACACUUUGAUUGUCAUGCCAAACUACCAAACUGCCUAAUUAAGAUGCCAAACUAUAAUGCCAAAAUUUGAUUGAAUGCAAAAUUAAAAGAACAUUUCUAUAAGUAAUCAAAAUAAUUUGAAAUGAAUUUGUCAUGCCAAACUACAUGGAAAAUGUCUAAUGUCUUGUCCUUUUUUUAGAAUUCUUCCUAAUAAUCUAAAUUCUUCCUAACCAUCCCAAAUAUUCUGAUUGUCAAUGUUCUUUCUCAGAUGUCAUGAAUCACAAAUGAACACUAAACCUUUAACUUCAUAUUUUAAACAUUAACAUCGAAGUAAACACUUAAACCGUGCAAAUAAAAUCUUGAUUCUCACCUUCACAGUGACUGUAUCCAUCUCCUUUGAUUUGCUCGCUAUCAACCAAGAGACAUUCACAAACUCUUCCUCGAAAUGUAUCUUAAGAAGAAAAUCAAUAUAUUCAAAUAAGCUCAUGGAGUAGAGAAUCCCUAUCAAAUCUGUUUCGAUUCAUACCCUGCAGGCUGUGAGAUUUGCUGCUUUUUCUUGCCAACAACCACCAUCAUUUUCCAAGCAUUCAUUCGUCUCCACAUCUGUGAAAAAAGUAACCGCCAUCACUGGUGUUUCAAAUAACAACUGGACAGUAAGUUGAAACACUACACUGGAUUUCUAAAAGCCUAGCUCUCGCCUAUGUUACUUAGUGUGAGAGUUGGAUAAGACAUAUGUCUGACAUGGACAUGUGCAAGUUGUUCUUCAUUUUCCCUGUAUUCAGAGUGUUUUUGGAGGGUCACAUCCCCAUACUCGUCUAUGAAAACGUGUCAGACACGGGUUCUCAAGAGAGGUAAAGAGUCAGCACCCCUAAGUGGAACCAGACUAAAAUACUUCUCUUGCAAGAAAAAUAAAACAAGACAAACUCACCACCACUCGAACAAACAGCUGGUUCAGUAGUCUCCUCGAAGCCGGCACAUAUGGCCUUCAAAACAGCACCUUUGGCCAGCUUUCCUGCAUGCAGAUAUGUUAAACGCGGAAAGCACCCAAAAUUUUAUCUGGGAAAUACGGGUAUAAAUACGAACCUCGAUAUUGGCGAUUGUUGACAACAAGUCUAGGCAAUAUGGUAACAUCUCCUCUAGAUCCUUUCCCCGCCUAUGAAAAUGUUUCUAUUAAAUAGCCUCAAAAAGGUCAAAGAAGACAACGAAUUGGAAAAAGAGUAGUGAAACAUAAAAUAUCUUAGCCUGAGAGGACUACUUGAGCAUCUUGUUCUUCUUCCAGAACAGGAUUCUCCAUAUCAGCAUCUGGAUCUCCCAAACACUUUUCGAUCUUUUUAGCGUCAAGCCCUGAAUGGAUGACAAAGGAAUAUCAUCAAUUUAUUACUAGUUUCCAGCAAGAUUUUGAGUUUUCACUGUGCUAUUAAUACUAACAGAAAUUUGAAGAUAAACCGAGGAUCUUCCAAUUAACUGUUUACCAAGAGAUUUGAUAACACCGUCUGCACAUUCCUUAUUAUAUCUUUUCUACUUCAUUGGCCAUCUUAUUUCAAAAUCAGUCACAUAGUCCCACCACACCCAAGGCCUAUUGGUCUCAUUUGCCACUUUGAAAACGCAAAGCUGCCUUAAGGUCUCAAUAACUACAUCUUUCCCUUCAUAACCUGAGCUAAAACCUUGUUCAGGAUCCGGUGCACAGUAUCUUCCGCGGUUGAUGCAUUGAGAUAUGCACUGCCGGCUUAGGGUGAAAGCUUGAGGGCAGUACCAAGUUAUAUAAUGGGGUGUGAACUGCGUAUAGCCACCUUUUUCGAGAAUCUUAGCAGCACCCUUGAAAUCCUUCACAAAUGCCAUCAGCAUAUCGCAUUUAACUCCACAUUCAUCAUUGCUCUUGGUCCAUAACUCGUACUCGUCACGAUCAUCAGGGUUAGAGUUUCACCAGAAGUUUUCUCGAUAAGGGCAGAUGAACUGUCCUCUUCGCGAUUGUCCCUGGUUAUUAAUGCUUCUUCUAUGUCAUCCGCAACAAGCACUGCAGAAGCACUGCUUGCCAUACAUUCCAAAUCUUUAAAGCAAAGAAGCAAUCUGGAGAAAUAAUAAGAAAAAAGGCGCUAAAUGCAGUCUCCGCAAAUAUAUAUAUAUAUCAAAAACUAAAGAAAAAUUACAUCUAAGACCAUAACUCAAUCAAGGACAAUAAGCAAAUUUUACAACCUUGGCAGCAACUGGAGUCCGUAUAUAGGCAACACUUCAGAUUUUUCUCAUCUCUUUAACAGUGUAAUCACAUUAUAGUAAUGUAACUGAAUUAUCUAAUCCGGAAGUAACUAUAAGCCAUUACUACCUAAUGCUUAGAUCAACCAGCAUUCUGAACCUCAUUUUUAUCACCAUACAUCUGUUUGAGAACCAACCAAACUCAAAUCGUACACUCUAAAUCUAUGUUCACUCGGACUCGGGUAUGAGUUUCAAAUGUAGGCACAUGUUUGAGACGGAUAUGUUAGUUUUGGUUUUUCAUGUAUCUGGAGGAUCUUUGAAAAGUCAUGUGUCGCCCAUAUGCAUGUUCGGAUAUUGAGUCUAGAACGGGUACUUCAGACGGAUAUCCAGAGGAUCAUUAACAGCAUAAUCGCGUUGCAGUAAUGUAACUGAAUUAUCUAAUCCGGAGGUAACUAUAAGCCAUUACUACGAAAUGCUUAGAUCACCAUUAUUUUGAAACUCGUUUUUAUUAUCAUCCAUCUGUUUAAGAACCAACCAAACUCAAAUCAUACACUCUAAAUCUCUGUUUACUCCGACUUGGGUAUGAGUUUCAAAUAAAGGUAUGUGUUUGACACUGAUAUAUUCAAUUUUUCUUCAUGUACCUAGGGGAUCUUUGAGAAGACAUAUCACCGCACACAUGUUCAGAUAUUGAGUCCAAAACCGGUACUUCAAGCAAAACUGAGACUCAGAGAAACUUAGCUCUAAACCACUUUAUCCAUACUGGAGAAAACUAUACGCCAUUACUACGAAAUUCUUAGAUAACCAGCAUUUUGAAAUUCAUUUUUAUUAUCAUACAUCUGCCUUGAGAACCAACCCAACCCAAAGCAUAUAUGUUCACUUGGACUCUGGGUGUGAGUUUCAAAUACAGGUAUGUGUUUGACACGGAUAUAUUCAAAUUUUUGUUCAUGUACCUAGAAGGAUCUUUGAAAAAUCAGAUCACCGUACACAUGUUCGGAUAUUGAGUCUAAAACUGGUACUUAAAGCAAAACCAAGAAUCUGAGAAACUUAGCUCUACUUUUGUAGACACCUCUAAGGCUACAUCCCUAUGAAAGGAGGGAAAUGAAGCUAAAUGAAUGGACCUAAUUUCAGAAAACAACUAGUAAGAUAAAAAGAGAGAAAGACAUCCGUCCAAACAACUUAAAGCAAAGCUGAAAACAAGUAAAUUAAUUCAUAAAUGAACGGAUAAAUAUAUAAAUAAUGAUAAUGAAAUCAAUGGAAACUGAUAAACCUAAAUUUAUUUAAAUGAAUUAGUUAAAAUAUAAUAACAUAAAUCCAAGUAGAUGGAAAAACCAAAUCUAUUAACCCUCAAAUCCCAAACUAUCAAAUAGAUUAUUGCCCCAUAAAUAAACCAAAUCCAACAAAUUGAACUUUAAACCUACUAUUUAAAUUCCCCAAUUUGGAAUUACUCAAAUUAGCUAAAACAACACAAAAAUUCCUCAUUGAUCAACCCUACAACAAACAAAUUAUAGCUCAAAUAAACAAAACCAUAGAUUAAUUUUUCUUAGAAGGCGAAAAUUUUGAAAAAAAGAAGAAGAAAAGUGUACCUCCACGAUCGACCAGAACAUAGGUAGGAAGAGAACCAGGCUUGGAUAUAACCGAAAUCCCAAAGUCAUCAAAACCUUUACAAGCUUUUCGGUUUUCUUCAGGGUAAACCACAACACCAGCCAUGCUUCCACCACAUUGAGGUAUCCCAAAGUUCCCAAUCGCACUAUCAUGGGUUGCUUUAAUCUUCUCCGGCGAUGUUACCGCCAAGCUCUUCUUUUCCACCACGAAUCUCGCGUAACAAUUGCGUAUCAAAGAUAAUAAAAUAAACACUUGAGGAAGAUGAUGAUGAUGGAAUGUUCGUAGCUCCAUAUCUUUACUUUUGGUUUUGGAUUUGGAUUGGAUCAGUUUUAAGGACGAUACUGAUGAAGAAGAUGAAGAUCGUGUAUGAAAAACAUGUAAAAUGAAAUGGUUUUUUUGAAAAAAAUAAAAACAGUGAAAAUCGCCAUUAAAUAAUUCUAUGAUUCUUUUAUUUGUUUUAAAUGAAUUUAGAACACAGUUAGUGAAAUUUUGACACGCUACUAAUAAAUAAUCUUAGUCAUUUAUAGAUUAAACAUUUUUCUUUUUUUUAAACAGUGCAAUGAGACCAAAUCCAGUCAUCUGAAGUAAACUUAAUGGGUUUAUGUUUUUCUUAGCCCCCAAAUUUUCACCUACCGUGUAAUUUAGUACAUGUUAAAAAAAUCCAAUUUAGUCAUUUGUAUUAUACGUGACGGUCUUCUACAUAUACGAAGUCGUUUAAGUUUCGUUCCGGUGAAGAUUUCAAUAUGCUUCGCAUGUUCCAAAGUCCUUUGGCCCAUUCUAGCCAGUAUCGGCCCGUAUCAAUUGGUACAAAAUUUUGAUAUUUAAACUUAUCUUUUAAUUUUUUAUCUUAAACAUUUUAACUUUUUAUAACUACGUUUAAAAUUAAAAUAAACUGAAGCUAUUGAACCAAUUAAUAGAUUUAAAACUUAUUUUUACAUAUAGAUAGAUGUCAUUGAAAUAUAUCAAGAAAAUUUUCGGUGCAUUUAGCACAUAAAAUCCUCCAAAAAUAAGGAAAACAGUUAAAUAAUAUAACAUGAAGGAUUCAACAAAAACAACAAAGGAACAUCACAUUAUUCUUGGAUAACGGCAAUAAUUGUAUCAUUACUGAUUAUCAUCAGUUCUUCAUGGCGCAUCUCUCUAUGCAGGUAUUGACGCAGCCGACAACUUCCUUUGAAGCUGACAAAAACAAAACAAAUCAUUAAGUUAAUAUACGUACUUACUUACCAUCAAAUAUUAAUAUAAAACGGAAAAAGAAAAAUUACCAGGCAUCCUCCCUUGGCUGCUUAGCAUUGAACAUGUCAUGGCAGCACACCCAACAGUGCAGAAUACGGAGCUGCUCGCGAGGUGGGUUUCCUCCAAUGUCUCCACCAGUGCUUCUGACGGCAGGCAGCGUUGAAUACAUUCCCCAAGGGAAGUUCCGUUGGCGACGCAAGUCGUUACGCAAAAAGUAUACCCAAGUCCAAUCGGGACAAGUGCUGUAACAGCUUGACGCGAGGGACUAACAAGGAUCAACAACAGCAAACAGAACAUCAACGCCAAUGAUUUCCCCCCCAUUAUGUAUAUAUUUGAUUUGAUUUGAUAAUGAUUUUUUUGCACUGCUUGAUAUCGGUGUUAUAUACACUUUGAUUGUCAUGCCAAACUACCAAACUGCCUAAUUAAGAUGCCAAACUAUAAUGCCAAAAUUUGAUUGAAUGCAAAAUUAAAAGAACAUUUCUAUAAGUAAUCAAAAUAAUUUGAAAUGAAUUUGUCAUGCCAAACUACAUGGAAAAUGUCUAAUGUCUUGUCCUUUUUUUAGAAUUCUUCCUAAUAAUCUAAAUUCUUCCUAACCAUCCCAAAUAUUCUGAUUGUCAAUGUUCUUUCUCAGAUGUCAUGAAUCACAAAUGAACACUAAACCUUUAACUUCAUAUUUUAAACAUUAACAUCGAAGUAAACACUUAAACCGUGCAAAUAAAAUCUUGAUUCUCAC